UGAUGAAUAUUGGACAAUGGGCGCAAGCCUGAUCCAGCCAUGCCGCGUGCAGGAAGAAGCAUCUAUGGUGUGUAAACUGCUUUUGUACGGGAAGAAACACUCCUACGUGUAGGAGCUUGACGGUACCGUAAGAAUAAGGAUCGGCUAACUCCGUGCCAGCAGCCGCGGUAAUACGGAGGAUCCAAGCGUUAUCCGGAAUCAUUGGGUUUAAAGGGUCCGUAGGCGGUUUAAUAAGUCAGUGGUGAAAGCCCAUCGCUCGACGAUGGAACGGCCAUUGAUACUGCUAGGAUUGAAUUAUUAGGAAGGAACUAGAAUAUGUAGUGUAGCGGUGAAAUGCUUAGAUAUUACAUGGAAUACCAAUUGCGAAGGCAGGUUAAUACUAAUGGAUUGACGCUGAUGGACGAGAGCGGGGGGAGAAAACA
RNAcentral lists this ribosomal RNA (422 nucleotides) under uncultured bacterium. RNAcentral describes it as "bacterial SSU rRNA". It matches the Rfam family "Bacterial small subunit ribosomal RNA", at positions 355 to 774 of the family's 1533-position model. The record is from RNAcentral.